This 253-nucleotide ribosomal RNA is filed under the name uncultured bacterium. RNAcentral's name for it is "partial 16S ribosomal RNA". It matches the Rfam family "Bacterial small subunit ribosomal RNA", at positions 524 to 776 of the family's 1533-position model. The record is from RNAcentral.
UACGAAGGGGGCUAGCGUUGCUCGGAAUCACUGGGCGUAAAGCGCACGUAGGCGGCUUUCUAAGUCAGGGGUGAAAUCCUGGAGCUCAACUCCAGAACUGCCUUUGAUACUGGAGAGCUUGAGUCCGGAAGAGGUGAGUGGAACUCCGAGUGUAGAGGUGAAAUUCGUAGAUAUUCGGAAGAACACCAGUGGCGAAGGCGGCUCACUGGUCCGGUACUGACGCUGAGGUGCGAAGGCGUGGGGAGCAAACAGG